RNAcentral lists this ribosomal RNA (872 nucleotides) under uncultured fungus. RNAcentral's name for it is "SSU rRNA". It matches the Rfam family "Eukaryotic small subunit ribosomal RNA", at positions 1 to 906 of the family's 1831-position model. The record is from RNAcentral. Lineage: Eukaryota; Fungi.
CCUGGUUGAUUCUGCCCUUUGUCAUAUGCUUGUCUCAAAGAUUAAGCCAUGCAUGUCUAAGUAUAAACACGUUAUACUGUGAAACUGCGAAUGGCUCAUUAAAUCAGUUAUAGUUUAUUUGAUGGUUUUUGCUACAUGGAUAACUGUGGUAAUUCUAGAGCUAAUACAUGCGUACAAGCCCCGACUUCUGGAAGGGGUGUAUUUAUUAGAUAAAAAUCAACACUGUUGGUGAAUCAUGAUAACUUCUCGGAUCGCAUGGCCUCGUGCUGGCGAUACUUCAUUCAAAUAUCUGCCCUAUCAACUGUCGAUGGUAGGAUAGAGGCCUACCAUGGUUGCAACGGGUAACGGGGAAUAAGGGUUCGAUUCCGGAGAGGGAGCCUGAGAAACGGCUACCACAUCCAAGGAAGGCAGCAGGCGCGCAAAUUACCCAAUCCCGACACGGGGAGGUAGUGACAAUAUGUAACAAUAUACGGCUUUAUCGUCGUAUAAUUGGAAUGAGUACAAUUUAAAUCCCUUAACGAGGAACAAUUGGAGGGCAAGUCUGGUGCCAGCAGCCGCGGUAAUUCCAGCUCCAAUAGCGUAUAUUAAAGUUGUUGCAGUUAAAAAGCUCGUAGUUGGACCUUGGGCCUGGACGGGCGGUCCGCCUCACGGCGUGUACUGUCUUGCCGGGCCUUUCCUCUUGGUGAUCUGUUGUUUCGGCAGCAGGGAACCAGGACCUUUACUUUGAAAAAAUUAGAGUGUUCAAAGCAGGCUCGACGCCGGAAUAUAUUAGCAUGGAAUAAUAAAAUAGGACGUGCGGUUCUAUUUUGUUGGUUUUUGGAAUCGCCGUAAUGAUUAAUAGGGACAGUCGGGGGCAUUAGUACUCACAUGCU